Molecule: ribosomal RNA, 274 nt
Filed under: uncultured bacterium
Lineage: Bacteria
Description: partial 16S ribosomal RNA
Rfam family: Bacterial small subunit ribosomal RNA
Source: RNAcentral
AUGCGGAGGGAGCAAGCGUUAUUCGGAAUCACUGGGCGUAAAGGACGCGUAGGCGGGUUUGUAAGUCAGGUGUGAAAUCCUACAGCUCAACUGUAGAACUGCACUUGAAACUACAGACCUAGAGUAUGGAAGGGGCAGGUGGAAUUAGUGGUGUAGGGGUAAAAUCCGUAGAUAUCACUAGGAAUACCGAAAGCGAAGGCGAUCUGCUGGGACAUUACUGACGCUGAGGCGUGAAAGCGUGGGGAGCAAACAGGAUUAGAAACCCUGGUAGUCC